GAUGAAGAACGUAGCGAAAUGCGAUAAGUAGUGUGAAUUGCAGAAUUCAGUGAAUCAUCGAAUCUUUGAACGCACAUUGCGCCCCUUGGUAUUCCAUGGGGCAUGCCUGUUCGAGCGUCAUUUGUACCUUCAAGCUUUGCUUGGUGUUGGGUGUUUGUCUCGCCUUUGCGUGUAGACUCGCCUCAAAAUAAUUGGCAGCCGGCGUAUUGAUUUCGGAGCGCAGUACAUCUCGCGCUUUGCACUCAUAACGACAGCGUCCAAAAGUACAUUUUACACUCUUGACCUCGGAUCAGGUAGGGAUACCCGCUGAACUUAAGCAUAUCAAUAAGCGGAGGA
This 336-nucleotide unclassified non-coding RNA is filed under the name soil metagenome. RNAcentral describes it as "partial contains 5.8S ribosomal RNA, internal transcribed spacer 2, and large subunit ribosomal RNA". The stretch from base 1 to 120 matches the Rfam family "5.8S ribosomal RNA", at positions 35 to 154 of the family's 154-position model. The record is from RNAcentral.